This 256-nucleotide long non-coding RNA is filed under the name Carica papaya (papaya). Its description in RNAcentral is "long non-coding RNA (CPAP_LNC006809)". The record is from RNAcentral. Lineage: Eukaryota; Viridiplantae; Streptophyta; Magnoliopsida; Brassicales; Caricaceae.
GCUCCACCAUCAAUAUAUGCCUUUAAUCUUUGCCCAUUCAUUUUAAAUGUGCCUUUUUGCUCAUGAUGAAGCUCCACAGCACCACUGUAAAUGGUCCAAACCAUCUAGACUUGAGCUUUCCAGGAAAUAGCCUUAAGCAUCAGUUGUAAAGCAACACCUUUUAUCCUAGAAUGAAUUCUUGGUGCAAGAUACGUUUGUCAUGCCACUGUUGUAACACCUUGCCCAUUGUUGUACUUAAUUAAUUUAGAAAAUCCUA